CCUACGGGAGGCAGCAGUGAGGAAUAUUGGUCAAUGGGCGCGAGCCUGAACCAGACAAGUCGCGUGAGGGAAGACGGUCCUAUGGAUUGUAAACCUCUUUGGUCGGGGAGCAAAAGACGCCACGCGUGGCGUUCCGCGAGUACCCGAAGAAAAAGCAUCGGCUAACUCCAUGCCAGCAGCCGCGGUAAUACGGAGGAUGCGAGCGUUAUCCGGAUUUAUUGGGUUUAAAGGGUGCGCAGGCGGAAGAUCAAGUCAGCGGUAAAAUUGAGAGGCUCAACCUCUUCGAGCCGUUGAAACUGGUUUUCUUGAGUGAGUGAGAAGUAUGCGGAAUGCGUGGUGUAGCGGUGAAAUGCAUAGAUAUCACGCAGAACUCCGAUUGCGAAGGCAGCAUACCGGCGCUCAACUGACGCUCAUGCACGAAAGUGUGGGUAUCGAACAGGAUUAGAUACCCUGGUAGUC
Molecule: ribosomal RNA, 459 nt
Filed under: uncultured bacterium
Lineage: Bacteria
Description: partial 16S ribosomal RNA
Rfam family: Bacterial small subunit ribosomal RNA
Source: RNAcentral